RNAcentral lists this long non-coding RNA (429 nucleotides) under Homo sapiens (human). Its description in RNAcentral is "non-protein coding lnc-LZTFL1-2:1". Lineage: Eukaryota; Metazoa; Chordata; Mammalia; Primates; Hominidae. The record is from RNAcentral.
AGGAGGGGAGUGGAGACAGGACCAGCAUUGACUGAGUAUCUGCCAAUCAUUUGGAGAGGGGCUGGGCACCUGCCCCUGUUUAUGUCUUCUGCUUCAGCACAGACCCCUUAACUGGAACCAGCUCUUUAGAGAGAACUGCCUGAUCUGUUUCUGGCCACAUCCUCUCUGAGCAAGGUCCUGGGCUACCGGUCACAUCCCCAGCAUGGGUACUUGGCUCUUAGCAGAAUAACUAGACAGGACACUAGGGAAAACCUGAGUCAUCCCCUCACCACCUCCAGGCCUUGAACUGCCAGGGCUUGUGGCCAAGAGUGCCCACCAGAGGAGGGGUUGGAAGAUGAACUUCCCACCUCACCCCCUCCUGCCCCUCCGUACACUCCCAAGUGGAAAUGAAAGCACCCCUGGAGUUAGCAGGACCUCAUGGCAUAGACC